This 427-nucleotide ribosomal RNA is filed under the name uncultured bacterium. RNAcentral describes it as "bacterial SSU rRNA". It matches the Rfam family "Bacterial small subunit ribosomal RNA", at positions 355 to 774 of the family's 1533-position model. The record is from RNAcentral.
UGGGGAAUUUUGGACAAUGGGCGCAAGCCUGAUCCAGCCAUGCCGCGUGCAGGAUGAAGGCCUUCGGGUUGUAAACUGCUUUUGUACGGAACGAAAAGGUGCCUUCUAAUAAAGGGCGCUCAUGACGGUACCGUAAGAAUAAGCACCGGCUAACUACGUGCCAGCAGCCGCGGUAAUACGUAGGGUGCGAGCGUUAAUCGGAAUUACUGGGCGUAAAGCGUGCGCAGGCGGUUUUGUAAGACAGAAGUGAAAUCCCCGGGCUCAACCUGGGAACUGCCUUUGUGACUGCAAGGCUGGAGUGCGGCAGAGGGGGAUGGAAUUCCGCGUGUAGCAGUGAAAUGCGUAGAUAUGCGGAGGAACACCGAUGGCGAAGGCAAUCCCCUGGGCCUGCACUGACGCUCAUGCACGAAAGCGUGGGGAGCAAACA